GACGAACGCUGGCGGCGUGCUUAACACAUGCAAGUCGAACGGAAAGACCCUGCUUUUGUGGGGUGCUCGAGUGGCGAACGGGUGAGUAACACGUGAGUAACCUGCCCUUGACUUUGGGAUAACUUCAGGAAACUGGGGCUAAUACCGGAUAGGAGCUCCUGCUGCAUGGGGGGGGUUGGAAAGUUUCGGCGGUUGGGGAUGGACUCGCGGCUUAUCAGCUUGUUGGUGGGGUAGUGGCUUACCAAGGCUUUGACGGGUAGCCGGCCUGAGAGGGUGACCGGCCACAUUGGGACUGAGAUACGGCCCAGACUCCUACGGGAGGCAGCAGUGGGGAAUAUUGCACAAUGGGCGGAAGCCUGAUGCAGAAACGCCGCGUGCGGGAUGACGGCCUUCGGGUUGUAAACCGCUUUCGCCUGUGACGAAGCGUGAGUGACGGUAAUGGGUAAAGAAGCACCGGCUAACUACGUG
RNAcentral lists this ribosomal RNA (468 nucleotides) under uncultured bacterium. Its description in RNAcentral is "partial 16S ribosomal RNA". It matches the Rfam family "Bacterial small subunit ribosomal RNA", at positions 28 to 507 of the family's 1533-position model. The record is from RNAcentral.